UACGGGAGGCAGCAGUGGGGAAUAUUGCACAAUGGGCGAAAGCCUGAUGCAGCUAUGCCGCGUGUAUGAAGAAGGCCUUAGGGUUGUAAAGUACUUUCAUCGGGGAGGAAAAAACAAAACUAAUAAUUUUAUUUCUUGACGUUACCCGAAAAAGAAGCACCGGCUAACUCCGUGCCAGCAGCCGCGGUAAUACGGAGGGUGCUAGCGUUAAUCAGAAUUACUGGGCGUAAAGAGCACGUAGGUGGUUUUUUUAAGUCAGAUGUGAAAUCCCUGGGCUUAACCUAGGAACUGCAUUUUGAAACUGAAAUACUAGAGUAUCGUAGAGGGAGGUAGAAUUCUAGGUGUAGCGGUGAAAUGCGUAGAUAUCUGGAGGAAUACCUGUGGCGAAAGCGGCCUCCUAAACGAAUACUGACACUGAGGUGCGAAAGCGUGGGGAGUAAACAGGGAUUAGAUACC
Molecule: ribosomal RNA, 456 nt
Filed under: uncultured bacterium
Lineage: Bacteria
Description: bacterial SSU rRNA
Rfam family: Bacterial small subunit ribosomal RNA
Source: RNAcentral